Long non-coding RNA from Vidua chalybeata, 514 nucleotides. RefSeq lists it as uncharacterized. The record is from RefSeq and is a predicted model, not a curated record. NCBI's taxonomy places the organism in Eukaryota, Metazoa, Chordata, Aves, Passeriformes, Viduidae. The transcript is spliced from 4 exons.
CCCAGGUCCCGCCGAGAAACAGCGCCUUUGCCGGGCUCUCCAGAGCUGCCCAGGACCAGGGAAAACAAUGCAAAGCUGCAUUGCAUUUGCAUUGCUAGGGAGAGGAGAGGGGAAGAGGAAUGGAGAUAUCAGCUGACCAGAGCAUACAACACAAUCUGUUAUGCAACCAGACUUUUCAAGUGCAAUAUUCUGAGGGAGACAUCAAAAUGAUUUUAAAAAGCUACCCAGGAGAACACCUGCAGUCUGUGGGAAGAAAGAACACCUGUUCCACUCUGAUUACCAAGAACGGAAGUCAGCGUCUUUUGGUGUGAAACAACCCUUUCUUCAGAUCAAAAGCAGAGCAGAAAGACACUGGCCUUGCUUUCUAAAGACUGCAGGCUAAAAAGUGCUCUGAAAGCUGAAGAAGAUAUACAGGAAAGCCACAAAGGCAAUGGCUACAGUGGUGAGAAAUUCAGCAGUACAGUAGUAGGUCAGUAGAUCAAAGUAGUUUUUACUAGUGUCACUAUCUCUGUCA